GGGUCAUAUAGUUUUUGCUAUUUUUACCUAUCUAUGGGGGGGGGGGGGUCGGCUUAUUAACGAAAGGGCUAAUGAACGAGUGUAUACGCAAUAAAUUUAUCACA
This is a non-coding RNA of Chelonoidis abingdonii (Abingdon island giant tortoise), 104 nucleotides long. The record is from RefSeq and is a predicted model, not a curated record. Lineage: Eukaryota; Metazoa; Chordata; Testudines; Testudinidae.